RNAcentral lists this ribosomal RNA (468 nucleotides) under uncultured bacterium. Its description in RNAcentral is "partial 16S ribosomal RNA". It matches the Rfam family "Bacterial small subunit ribosomal RNA", at positions 28 to 507 of the family's 1533-position model. The record is from RNAcentral.
GACGAACGCUGGCGGCGUGCUUAACACAUGCAAGUCGAACGGAAAGGCCCUGCUUUUGGGGGGUGCUCGAGUGGCGAACGGGUGAGUAACACGUGGGGAACCUGCCCUUGACUUUGGGAUAACUUCAGGAAACUGGGGGUAAUACCGGAUAGGAGCUCCUGCUGCAUGGGGGGGGGUGGAAAGUUUCGGCGGUUGGGGAUGGACUCGCGGCUUAUCAGCUUGUUGGUGGGGUAGUGGCUUACCAAGGCUUUGACGGGUAGCCGGCCUGAGAGGGUGACCGGCCACAUUGGGACUGAGAUACGGCCCAGACUCCUACGGGAGGCAGCAGUGGGGAAUAUUGCACAAUGGGCGGAAGCCUGAUGCAGCAACGCCGCGUGCGGGAUGACGGCCUUCGGGUUGUAAACCGCUUUCGCCUGCGACGAAGCGUGAGUGACGGUAAUGGGUAAAGAAGCACCGGCUAACUACGUG